CGCCUGUUUAUCAAAAACAUGUCUUUUUGUUAAUUAUUUAAAGUCUGGCCUGCUCCAUGAGUAUUAAAUAGCCGCAGUAUUUUGACUGUGCAAAGGUAGCAUAAUCAUUAGUUUUUUAAUUGAAAGCUGGAAUGAAGGGUCGGAUGAGGAAAUAACUGUCUCAGAUUAAUUUAAAUUGAAUUUUAUUAUUAAGUCAAAAAGCUUAAAUUUUAUAGAAAGACGAGAAGACCCUAUAGAGUUUAAUAAGAUAAUAUAUAAAGGGAUUUAGGUUUUAAUCUUUUAGUAUAAAUUCUUAUUUGGUUGGGGUGACAAAGAAUUGAAUGAAACUUCUUUAUAUUUCUACAUUGAUUAAUGAAUAUUUGAUCCUUUAUUUGAGAUUAAAAGAAUAAAUUACCUUAGGGAUAACAGCGUUAUUCUUUCAGAGAGUUCUAAUCGAUGAAAGAGAUUGCGACCUCGAUGUUGGAUUAAAGUUAAUUUCUGGUGCAGAAGCUGGAAUAUUAAGUCUGUUCGACUUUUGAAACUUUACGUGAUCUGAGUUUAGACCCG
This 546-nucleotide ribosomal RNA is filed under the name Hycleus zebraeus. Its description in RNAcentral is "partial 16S ribosomal RNA". It matches the Rfam family "Bacterial large subunit ribosomal RNA", at positions 1797 to 2619 of the family's 2925-position model. The record is from RNAcentral. Lineage: Eukaryota; Metazoa; Arthropoda; Insecta; Coleoptera; Meloidae.